This 464-nucleotide ribosomal RNA is filed under the name uncultured bacterium. RNAcentral describes it as "bacterial SSU rRNA". It matches the Rfam family "Bacterial small subunit ribosomal RNA", at positions 28 to 507 of the family's 1533-position model. The record is from RNAcentral.
GACGAACGCUGGCGGCGUGCUUAACACAUGCAAGUCGAACGGUGAACCAGAGCUUGCUCUGGGGAUCAGUGGCGAACGGGUGAGUAACACGUGGGCAACCUGCCCCAGACUCUGGGAUAACCUCGGGAAACCGAUGCUAAUACCGGAUACGACCACUUCGGACAUCCGACGGUGGUGGAAAGUUUUUCGGUCUGGGAUGGGCCCGCGGCCUAUCAGCUAGUUGGUGGGGUAAUGGCCUACCAAGGCGACGACGGGUAGCCGGCCUGAGAGGGCGACCGGCCACACUGGGACUGAGACACGGCCCAGACUCCUACGGGGGGCAGCAGUGGGGGAUCUUGCACAAUGGGCGAAAGCCUGAUGCAGCGACGCCGCGUGAGCGAAGAAGGCCUUCGGGUUGUAAAGCUCUGUCUGGAGGGACGAACAAAAUGACGGUACCUCCGGAGGAAGCCACGGCUAACUACGUG